RNAcentral lists this ribosomal RNA (508 nucleotides) under uncultured bacterium. RNAcentral's name for it is "partial 16S ribosomal RNA". It matches the Rfam family "Bacterial small subunit ribosomal RNA", at positions 28 to 523 of the family's 1533-position model. The record is from RNAcentral.
GACGAACGCUGGCGGCGCGCUUAAUACAUGCAAGUCGAGCGAGAACCGGAGCUUCGGCUCCGGGGACAGCGGCGAACGGGUGAGUAACACGUGGGUAACCUGCCCUCGGCACCGGGAUAGCCCGGGGAAACCCGGAUUAAUACCGGAUGGCCCUUUCGGUCUUCGGACCGGUCGGCAAAGGUAGCUUCGGCCUCCGGCCGAGGAUGGGCCCGCGGCGGAUUAGCUUGUUGGUGAGGUAACGGCUCACCAAGGCUCCGAUCCGUAGCUGGUCUGAGAGGACGAUCAGCCACACUGGGACUGAGACACGGCCCAGACUCCUACGGGAGGCAGCAGUAGGGAAUCUUGCGCAAUGGGCGAAAGCCUGACGCAGCGACGCCGCGUGCGGGAAGGCGGCCUUCGGGUUGUAAACCGCUUUCAGGAGGGACGAAGCCACUCGGGUGAAUAGCCCAGAGGGUGACGGCACCUCCAGAAGAAGCCCCGGCUAACUACGUGCCAGCCGCCGCCGUAA